AAUAGAUACCCCGGUAGUCCACGCCGUAAACUAUGGAUGCUAGCUGUUAACCCGUAUCGACCCGGUUAGUAACGAAGCUAACGCGUUAAGCAUCCCGCCUGUGGAGUACGGUCGCAAGACUAAAACAUAAAGGAAUUGACGGGGGACCCGCACAAGCGGUGGAGCGUGUUCUUUAAUUCGAAGGUAAGCGAAGAACCUUACCAGGGUUUGUACAUCCCGACGAAGGCUUCCGAAAGGAAACUGUGCCGCAAGGAACUCGGUGACAGGUGAUGCAUGGCCGUCGUCAGCUCGUGUCGUGAGAUGUUUGGUUAAGUCCAUCAACGAGCGCAACCCUUAUAUUCAGUUGGAUUUCUCUGAAUAGACUGCCCCGGUAACGGGGAGGAAGGAGGGGAUGAUGUCAGGUCAUUAUUUCCCUUACAUCCUGGGGCUAGAAACACGCUACAAUGGCCGGUACAAAGGGCAGAGCCAAGUCGCGAGACGGAGCAAAUCCCAUCAAAGCCGGUCUCAGUUCGGAUAGGAGGCUGAAAUUCGCCUCCUUGAAGCCGGAAUCGCCAGUAACGGU
RNAcentral lists this ribosomal RNA (562 nucleotides) under uncultured bacterium. RNAcentral's name for it is "bacterial SSU rRNA". It matches the Rfam family "Bacterial small subunit ribosomal RNA", at positions 777 to 1345 of the family's 1533-position model. The record is from RNAcentral.